UACGUAGGGAGCAAGCGUUGUCCGGAAUCAUUGGGCGUAAGAGCGCGUAGGCGGUCCGGUAAGUCGGUUGUGAAAACUGGGGGCUCAACCCUCAGAGGCCGACCGAUACUGCCGGGCUAGAGUCCGGAAGAGGCGAGUGGAAUUCCUGGUGUAGCGGUGAAAUGCGCAGAUAUCAGGAGGAACACCGAUGGCGAAGGCAGCUCGCUGGGACGGUACUGACGCUGAGGCGCGAAAGCGUGGGGAGCAAACAGG
Molecule: ribosomal RNA, 252 nt
Filed under: uncultured bacterium
Lineage: Bacteria
Description: partial 16S ribosomal RNA
Rfam family: Bacterial small subunit ribosomal RNA
Source: RNAcentral